This 465-nucleotide ribosomal RNA is filed under the name uncultured bacterium. RNAcentral's name for it is "partial 16S ribosomal RNA". It matches the Rfam family "Bacterial small subunit ribosomal RNA", at positions 28 to 507 of the family's 1533-position model. The record is from RNAcentral.
GAUGAACGCUGGCGGCGUGCUUAACACAUGCAAGUCGAACGGAAAGGCUCCUGCUUGCAGGGGUACUCGAGUGGCGAACGGGUGAGUAACACGUGGGUGAUCUGCCCUGCACUUCGGGAUAAGCCUGGGAAACUGGGUCUAAUACCGGAUAGGACGAUGGUUUGGAUGCCAUUGUGGAAAGUUUUUCGGUGUGGGAUGAGCUCGCGGCCUAUCAGCUUGUUGGUGGGGUAAUGGCCUACCAAGGCGUCGACGGGUAGCCGGCCUGAGAGGGUGUACGGCCCCAUUAGGACUGAGAUACGGCCCAGCCUCCUACGGGAGGCAGCAGUGGAGAAUAUUGCACAGUGGGCGCAAGCCUGAUGCAGCGACGCCGCGUGGGGGAUGACGGCCUUCGGGUUGUAAACUCCUUUCGCUGGGGACGAAGCGCAAGUGACGGUACCUGGAGAAGAAGCACCGGCUAACUACGUG